UGGGGAAUAUUGGACAAUGGGCGAAAGCCUGAUCCAGCCAUGCCGCGUGUGUGAAGAAGGUCUUCGGAUUGUAAAGCACUUUAAGUUGGGAGGAAGGGCAUUAACCUAAUACGUUAGUGUUUUGACGUUACCGACAGAAUAAGAACCGGCUAACUCUGUGCCAGCAGCCGCGGUAAUACAGAGGGUGCAAGCGUUAAUCGGAAUUACUGGGCGUAAAGCGCGCGUAGGUGGUUUGUUAAGUUGGAUGUGAAAGCCCCGGGCUCAACCUGGGAACUGCAUCCAAAACUGGCAAGCUAGAGUACGGUAGAGGGUGGUGGAAUUUCCUGUGUAGCGGUGAAAUGCGUAGAUAUAGGAAGGAACACCAGUGGCGAAGGCGACCACCUGGACUGAUACCGACACUGAGGUGCGAAAGCGUGGGGAGCAAACA
Molecule: ribosomal RNA, 427 nt
Filed under: uncultured bacterium
Lineage: Bacteria
Description: partial 16S ribosomal RNA
Rfam family: Bacterial small subunit ribosomal RNA
Source: RNAcentral